GAUGAAGAACGCAGCGAAAUGCGAUACGUAAUGUGAAUUGCAGAAUUCAGUGAAUCAUCGAAUCUUUGAACGCAUAUUGCGCUCUCUGGUAUUCCGGAGAGCAUGCUUGUUUGAGUAUCACUAAACACCUCAACUUCCAUAUCUUUUUUGAAAUGGGAGUUGGACUUGAGUGAUCCCAACGCUUUUCCUCACCGAAAAGUGGCGGGUUACUUGAAAUGCAGGUGCAGCUGGACUUUUUUCUGAGCUAUAAGCAUAUCUAUUUAGUCUGCCUAAAAAACAGAUUAUUACCUUUACUGCAGCUAACAUAAAGGAGAUUAGUUCUUGUGCUGACUGAUGCAGGAUUCACAAAGACAGGCUUCGGCCGACUUUGUAAACUCGAUCUCAAAUCAAGUAAGACUACCCGCUGAACUUAAGCAUAUCAAUAAGCGGAGGA
This 433-nucleotide unclassified non-coding RNA is filed under the name soil metagenome. Its description in RNAcentral is "partial contains 5.8S ribosomal RNA, internal transcribed spacer 2, and large subunit ribosomal RNA". The stretch from base 1 to 120 matches the Rfam family "5.8S ribosomal RNA", at positions 35 to 154 of the family's 154-position model. The record is from RNAcentral.